UCUUUAUCAAGAGUGGUGGAGGGAAAGGCCCUUUGAAGCCACAGCAACCGGUCAUCCGUCGCCAAGGCGACGGGCGGUGUCAGGUGCUAACUCCUGCUCGCCGAGGCCCAUCGCCGAAGCGGGGAAGAUGAGGA
RNAcentral lists this non-coding RNA (134 nucleotides) under Geoalkalibacter ferrihydriticus. RNAcentral describes it as "SAM-I sequence". It matches the Rfam family "SAM riboswitch aptamer (S box leader)". Rfam says of the family: The SAM riboswitch is found upstream of a number of genes which code for proteins involved in methionine or cysteine biosynthesis in Gram-positive bacteria. The record is from RNAcentral. Lineage: Bacteria; Pseudomonadati; Thermodesulfobacteriota; Desulfuromonadia; Desulfuromonadales; Geoalkalibacteraceae. RNAcentral also lists the same sequence under 1 other name.